UCCAGACUCCUACGGGAGGCAGCAGUGGGGGAUAUUGCACAAUGGGGGGAACCCUGAUGCAGCGACGCCGCGUGGGUGAAGGAGCGUUUCGGCGCGUAAAGCCCUAUCGGCAGGGAAGAAGGAGGACGGUACCUGACUAAGAAGCCCCGGCUAACUACGUGCCAGCAGCCGCGGUAAUACGUAGGGGGCAAGCGUUAUCCGGAUUUACUGGGUGUAAAGGGGGCGCAGACGGCAGCGCAAGCCAGGAGUGAAAGCCCGGGGCCCAACCCCGGGACUGCUCUUGGAACUGCGCGGCUGGAGUGCAGGAGGGGCAGGCGGAAUUCCUGGUGUAGCGGUGAAAUGCGUAGAUAUCAGGAGGAACACCGGUGGCGAAGGCGGCCUGCUGGACUGCGACUGACGUUGAGGCCCGAAAGCGUGGGGAGCAAACAGGAUUAGAUACCCGGGUAUCG
Molecule: ribosomal RNA, 449 nt
Filed under: uncultured bacterium
Lineage: Bacteria
Description: bacterial SSU rRNA
Rfam family: Bacterial small subunit ribosomal RNA
Source: RNAcentral